Molecule: ribosomal RNA, 482 nt
Filed under: uncultured bacterium
Lineage: Bacteria
Description: partial 16S ribosomal RNA
Rfam family: Bacterial small subunit ribosomal RNA
Source: RNAcentral
AUUGAACGCUGGCGGCAUGCUUUACACAUGCAAGUCGAACGGUAACAGGCCGCAAGGUGCUGACGAGUGGCGAACGGGUGCGUAAUGCAUCGGAACGUGCCCAGUCGUGGGGGAUAACUACUCGAAAGAGUAGCUAAUACCGCAUACGAUCUAUGGAUGAAAGCGGGGGACCGUAAGGCCUCGCGCGAUUGGAGCGGCCGAUGUCAGAUUAGGUAGUUGGUGGGGUAAAGGCUCACCAAGCCAACGAUCUGUAGCUGGUCUGAGAGGACGACCAGCCACACUGGGACUGAGACACGGCCCAGACUCCUACGGGAGGCAGCAGUGGGGAAUUUUGGACAAUGGGCGAAAGCCUGAUCGAGCAAUGCCGCGUGAAGGAAGAAGGUCUUCGGGUUGUAAAAUGCUGUUGUACGGAACGAAACGGCUCUGGUUAAUACCCGGGGGUAAUGACGGUACCGUAAGAAAAAGCACCGGCUAACUACGUG